RNAcentral lists this ribosomal RNA (452 nucleotides) under uncultured bacterium. RNAcentral describes it as "bacterial SSU rRNA". It matches the Rfam family "Bacterial small subunit ribosomal RNA", at positions 340 to 784 of the family's 1533-position model. The record is from RNAcentral.
UACGGGAGGCAGCAGUGGGGAAUAUUGCACAAUGGGCGCAAGCCUGAUGCAGCCAUGCCGCGUGUAUGAAGAAGGCCUUCGGGUUGUAAAGUACUUUCAGUCGUGAGGAAGGUGUUAAGGUUAAUAACCUUAGCAAUUGACGUUAGCGACAGAAGAAGCACCGGCUAACUCCGUGCCAGCAGCCGCGGUAAUACGGAGGGUGCGAGCGUUAAUCGGAAUUACUGGGCGUAAAGGGCACGCAGGCGGUUAAUUAAGUUGGAUGUGAAAUCCCCGGGCUUAACCUGGGAAUGGCAUUCAAGACUGGUUAGCUAGAGUCUUGUAGAGGGGGUAGAAUUCCAUGUGUAGCGGUGAAAUGCGUAGAGAUGUGGAGGAAUACCGGGUGGCGAAGGCGGCCCCUGGACAAAGGCUGACGCUCAUGUGCGAAAGCGUGGGGAGCAAACGAGGAUUAGAUA